Long non-coding RNA from Pongo pygmaeus (Bornean orangutan), 1906 nucleotides. RefSeq lists it as uncharacterized. The record is from RefSeq and is a predicted model, not a curated record. The transcript has 3 exons. NCBI's taxonomy places the organism in Eukaryota, Metazoa, Chordata, Mammalia, Primates, Hominidae.
CGGUCAGCGCACGCGCGUCGGUGUGCCUGCCAGGGUGCCCUCCCCGGCGACACGCUCAGGCCCGGAUUCCGCGGCGCGAGAGUGAGCGCUGGCGGGGGCGGUGGGAUGCUCCAAGUCGGCGUGAAAGAGGCGAGAGUGGGCGAGCACGGGCGGCCGGACCACGAGCACUCCCGGUGACCACCUAGUCUCCAUUUUAUUUCCUCGGAAACUGCCGGGCAGGCGGAGGACCCGCUGCAGGGCGGGGUUUCUCUUGGCGAAUUGUUUCCUGCCAGCGGCAGCCGAGCUGCGUUCACGCGCUGAUCGGAGAAUGAGUGACAGUACCAGCCUCAGCACACUCGCAACUCGGAGAUCCUUGCGCUGGCCCGUGUUCGUUUUGAUGGAACUGGGAUGGGAGCGAGGAGCGGGGGGCGGGGGUGAGAACCUCACUGUGUCCUUCCACCACGCCGGCCACAAAUAGUGCCGAACAUCAAGGAGAGAGACAUACAACACCCUUCAGCAGAUCCCCUGGGAAGGAGGUGGGAAGAGACUUAAGUUAGAAGAAAACUCCGAUGUUUGGAAGAGAUUUCCAGAAAUAACCCGAAGAAAAUGUUUUCCUGUUUAUAAAUUCUGAAAUCUGUGGUCUCUUUAUUAAAAUAGCCAAGGCUUUUAUAUAGGUAUUAUGAUAUAGAAGCGUCAUUAAAUAAUAUUUUCUUACAUGGGGACGUGACCUUAAUUCUUAAAGAUAUUAAUGUAUAUUACUGAGGUACCAACACAAUAGGCUUUAAUUAAAAUUCCACCCGUGUUUUCAAAAGUAGGGGGUGGAGAGAGCGGGGUGAAAAGAAUCAUGUCUCAGCACCUGAAGGCUUGGGUAUGUAAGGAACUAAUGUGAGGAAGGUGUUCUAGAUGUCAGGUUAACCCAUUAGCCUAGAACACUGAAACCCUCUAACAGAGGAAGUCUGCAUAAGUUCAAAGGCACUAAAGCACUAAUGUUACCGGGUACUCCCUUUUUCUUCAAAGGUCGGCCUCCUCACUCCUGUAGCAGAUUUUCUGUUUUGUUUUUUUGAGACGGAGCCUCGCUCUGUCGCCCAGGCUGGAGUGCAGUGGCGCCAUCUCCGCUCACUGCAACCUCUCUUCCCGGUUCAAGCGAUUCUCCUGCCUCACCCUCCUGAGUAGCUGGGAUUACAGGCACACGCCACCACGCCCAGCUAAUUUUUGUAUUUUUAGUAGAGAGGGUGUUUCACCAUGUUGGUCAGGCCUGUCUCGAACUCCUGACCUCGUGAUCUGCCCGCCUCAGUCUCCCAAAGUGCUAGGAUUACAGGCGUGAGCUACCGCGCCCAGCCGCUGUAGCAGUUUUUAAAAAUCCAUCCUCUGCUGGCAGACCAUCCAUCCUUCCUUACCGAACAGGCCCCAUCUCUUCCCCACUUUCCUCCUCUAUAAUAGACCAAGUGGGCCACACCAGUACAGUGUAAUUAUCGGGGACCCCUGAAAAGUAUUUCUUCCCCCCAAGUAAAUCUUGCACAACGUUUCCUUUGGGCUAUUUCUCUCAUACCAAGUAUAAACAAUUCAAAAAUACAGAAAAGUAGAAAGAACUAAAAUAACCCCAAAUCCCACAGAUUCCAGAGAUACUCAUAGAUUUUGUCUUCUGUAUGUGCAUAUGAUUUUUAUAAUUCACAUAUUAUAGUAGCAAUUUGAAUCCUGCUGAUUUUACCUAACAUCAGUAUAAGCAUUUAUUCCUCUGGUUCAUUAAAAAGCUUUUCUAGAUAUUUUUAUAGCUAUGUAAUAUUUCUUCAUAUGGAUGAUUUUGCAAUGGUUUCCCCAUUUUUGGAUAUUUAUACUGUUUGUGGAGUUUGAUAAUAUAAAUAAUGCUUUUUUGAACAUCUUUCAACAAAUAUUUGGGGAGCAACCACUGGGUUUAGCCCUGUGCUGG